CAUCCUCAAGUUAACAAUAAGUGUCUCCUCAGAUAAACACGAGCACACUGUUCUUUAAAUAAAUCUUUAUGGCCCCUUAUUCAAUAGGUUAUUCUCUUGCAUGCCAUGUUGCCAUUUGGAUUAAUAAAUACCGCAUCAAAUUUGUCACCUUUAAAGAUGAGAGAAUUAUAAAGAGAAAAAAGAGAUUUGUACUAAUGUCAAGCUUUGAAAAGGUUAUUUUUUUAACAUUUGUGUUUAAGACCUAAAUUAAACUGCCCCGGUCCCUUCAAAUGUUACAAAUGGAAACUGAAAUGUAAAAAGCAUUCACUUUGGUGAUCUGUAUUUGCAUUCUUUCAAAGGAGCAGAGAAUAAGUUCCCCAUAAGGGAAUGUACCUCAUGGAUAUCUUUCUGGCAAGUUAAUUCAAUCAAAUCCCUUCUCCUAUAAGGACAAGUGGUUUAAUGUUCUAUUCGGUUUAGUUCCAGAGGGGUAAUUAGCAGAGGUAAAACAAAGAUAGCGAAUGAAUACGAAUACCAAAUUCCUCCCCCUCUUUGAGGAAGAUUUGCUCCCUGGAGGCAGGUAUGCCUUAAAUGAAAGCACAAGAAAGACACUUCAGAGACACAAAAAACCUCUAAAACUGCUUCAUUCAGCCCCUGGAAGACGACUUCUGCAGAGGAGGGUCCCUGGGUAGCAUCAUGCAGUCAUAGCAGUUUCUGUGCCAGCUUUUCCCAGCUCUCCCUUCCACAGCACAGCACCUGCUGAAAGCAUGGCUUGUCUUAAAUACUGGCAUACCUGGACACCAAGAAAGUUUGCAGCAGCAAAUAGUAAGCCACAAUGUCUUGAAAAGUGCUAUAUUUUAUUCCACUGAAAUGAUGGCUGCUAUGAGCAGAAGGACAUGCAGGUAACCGAGCAGAGGGAGUUCUUGCUGUCACUGGCUAAGCCAAGCAAAACUUUUUUUUCAUUUUCUCUGUAUUUCUUCAAUGGGCUGUAAGCUAGUUCAGAAAGUCCAUGCAUAGUCUUACGAGGUUUUUGGACAUCAAGCAGAACCGUAUUUGUUGUAAGGUAAAUAAAAAGAUACGCUUUUCAUGCAGACAUACACCCUGCCCUCCUCAGUGCAUAUCACACUUCAUCACUUAUGUCUCAAAAAUUAGUCAUGAAUGUUUUUCUGUUGAGUCUCUGUUUUGUGGAAUCUCAAAACCUUAUUUACUCAAAACAAUAGCAUUACAUUGAUUUUAGAUGGCAUGAUAUUCAUCUUUGUUGUCUGCUUUCAAGCUAUUGCUCUAGGGAUAAUUACUAGACUUGUGUGUUUCAGAAAAUUGGCUUCAUUUUUUUGCCCACUGUCUGCUAUCUUCUCCUCUAAACCCCUAGAUCCUUUAUGAUCUUCUCUUUAUUUUGAACUUUUUUUUAUAUCUUCAUCUCCCCGUUAUAAGAAAUGGUCCAGCAAUUUGUGUCAAUGGUCCAGCAAUACGUGUCAAUAGAGUGUUUAAAAGGUAAAAAUUGGGACCUGGAUCUAGGGGACAGGAGAACAAAGGAGUUUCAAAAUGACUGUUAACUAUUGCACGGGAGGCUACACAAGUCUCUGACAUCCAGCCAAGAGAUUACCAAAUAAGGAAGAAAAGGAAACUGAAGGGUGACUGGAGGACAAAGCCUGGGUGGAAGACUGCGAGCCUUCAGCCCAAACGACCCCCAGAGAGACCACCGAGAACUGAUAGGCAUGUGCCAGUGGAAGGGGUCGCAUUCCGGAAACUAAUUGUAAUAACCCUGCCUUUCUUAGAAGUAGUGAUGAAUAUGUAUUAGCUUAGGAACAUAAAAACCAGCCGCCCGAUGUAACACGUGUGCGUAUUAGAGGAGUCCUGACUCCCUGCGCACCCAGCGCUGUUUAACUGCCUUUUAUUAAAUCAUAUAAAAUUAAAAAUUGACUCGGAAUUUAUAACAAUUUGGUGACCCCAAUGUGAUCCUCUUGAGUCCCGAGACUGUGAACGGCUAAGGGAGGCGCCCCCACCCUGGUUACGUUGUGGCCCUUACCGGGAGCAGUGCGGAGACCAGCAGGAUUACAAACAUAAGGGACAAGGAAAGAACAAAGAGCUCUCCCCUCCUCUGGUGCCCGUAAUUCUGCGUGUGAAGAUCCGAACAAAGAUUUAUCGUUUUCUCUCAGGAAAUCCAUCUCCCAUCAUCCCCUGAGUUGUUUUAGAAAUAAAAGACUUGCAAUAGUUCUAAAGAGAAGUUUUCCAUUUGUUUGCUCUACUCUCUCUGUUUGAUCAUAUUGGAAUCCUCCUAAAAAGAAUCAGCACAGUCCAUAACCAGAACUUAAUUGUGGAACACACACAUGGGGAAACCUGGAUCUACUUUAUUUCCCCCAAAACCUAUGGCAGGUGGUUUGGUGAUUCGUGUUACAGGAGCCGGGCCAGCUGCCGGGUUUGCAUUUCAGACUUCAGCCACCAUGUAAAGUUUCGGAGAAAUAAACUCAGUUUUGAAUGUGAUUUUCUCUUAAUAUGUAUUUGUAUGAAAUGCUUGAGGAGUAGGAUUCUGCUUCAGUUUAAAUAGCCUGGAUAGAGGUGUCUGUGUGUAAGGGUGGUGUCUUAACUCCCUCUAUAUUCAGCGGCUGUGAUUAUUGUCCGAAUCACUGCUCAAAUACAAGGUGUAGAGUACCAGGUAGGGAUUUUCAGGGUAUCCCACAUAGUUUCCAUCCACCACUGCAGAAGGGUAGGGGUCUUUUUUGGGCCCUGUAUUGUAUCUACCAAGACUCUAAGGAUGCCUUGGCUAUCUGGGGUUUCUCUUAUCCCUUUGUACACAAAAACCUAAAUGUCAGUGUAGUCUGGAGCCGCAUCAGUCCCAGGCAUUGCAAAGCAGUGUCAAUCUUCUAGGUAUCUCCAUCAUAAUAUUUGAUGGUGUAAAGAAAUGGUCCAGCAAUUCGUGUCAAUAAAGUGUUUAAAAGGUAAAUAUUGGGACCUGGAUCUAGGGGACAGGAGAACAAAGGAGUUUCAAAAUGACUGUUAACUAUUGCACCGGAUGCUACACAAGUCUCUGACAUCCAGCCAAGAGAUUACCAAAUAAGGAAGAAAAGGAAACUGGAGGGUGACUGGAGGACAAAGCCUGGGAGGAAGACUGUGAGCCUUCAGCCCAAGAAACUAAUUGUAAUAACCCUGCCUUUCUUAGAAGUAGUGAUGAAUACGUAUUAGCUUAGGAACAUAAAAACCAGCCGCCCGAUGUAACACGUGUGUGUGUUAGAGGAGCCCUGACUCCCAGCGCACCCAGUGCUGUUUAACUGCCUUUUAUUAACCCCAUAAAUAAAUCAUAUAAAACUAAAAAUUGAUUUGGAAUUUAUAACAAUUUGGUGACCCCAAUGUGAUCCUCUUGGGUCCCGAGACUGUGAACGGCUAAGGGAGGUGCCCCCACCCUGGUUUCGUUGUGGCCCUUACCGGGAGCACUGCAGAGCCCAGCAGGAUUACGAACAUAAGAGGCAAGUAAAGAACAAAGAGCUCUCCCCUCCUCCAGUACCUGUAAUUCUGCACGCAAAGAUCCGAAU
Falco peregrinus (peregrine falcon) is the source of this 3503-nucleotide long non-coding RNA. RefSeq lists it as uncharacterized. The record is from RefSeq and is a predicted model, not a curated record. The transcript has 3 exons. NCBI's taxonomy places the organism in Eukaryota, Metazoa, Chordata, Aves, Falconiformes, Falconidae.